Molecule: ribosomal RNA, 506 nt
Filed under: uncultured bacterium
Lineage: Bacteria
Description: partial 16S ribosomal RNA
Rfam family: Bacterial small subunit ribosomal RNA
Source: RNAcentral
AGUGAACGCUGGCGGUAGGCCUAACACAUGCAAGUCGAACGGCAGCACAGGAGAGCUUGCUCUCUGGGUGGCGAGUGGCGGACGGGUGAGGAAUACAUCGGAAUCUACUUUUUCGUGGGGGAUAACGUAGGGAAACUUACGCUAAUACCGCAUACGACCUACGGGUGAAAGCAGGGGACCUUCGGGCCUGGCGCGAUUGAAUGAGCCGAUGUCGGAUUAGCUAGUUGGCGGGGUAAAGGCCCACCAAGGCAACGAUCCGUAGCUGGUCUGAGAGGAUGAUCAGCCACACUGGAACUGAGACACGGUCCAGACUCCUACGGGAGGCAGCAGUGGGGAAUAUUGGACAAUGGGCGCAAGCCUGAUCCAGCCAUACCGCGUGGGUGAAGAAGGCCUUCGGGUUGUAAAGCCCUUUUGUUGGGAAAGAAAUCCAGCCGGUUAAUACCUGGUUGGGAUGACGGUACCCAAAGAAUAAGCACCGGCUAACUUCGUGCCAGCCGCCGCCGUAA